Molecule: transfer RNA, 85 nt
Filed under: Rhodothermaceae bacterium
Lineage: Bacteria; Pseudomonadati; Rhodothermota; Rhodothermia; Rhodothermales; Rhodothermaceae
Description: tRNA-Ser
Rfam family: tRNA
About the family: Transfer RNA (tRNA) molecules are approximately 80 nucleotides in length. Their secondary structure includes four short double-helical elements and three loops (D, anti-codon, and T loops).
Source: RNAcentral
GGAGGGGUGGCAGAGUGGUUGAAUGCACCGGUCUUGAAAACCGGCAUACCGCAAGGUAUCGUGGGUUCGAAUCCCACCCCCUCCG